ACUUCAGGGUGAUCUUGCUAUGACAUUUGUCACCCCAUUGAUCAGUGUUGAUUGGGCUGAUCUGGUUGCCUAGGCAGGUGUCCCUUCCUCCCUCACCACUUCAGGUACAUCCCUCCUGAAGCUGAACAUUCUGACUCUCCCCCAUAAAGACUGUUCUUGGAUCAAGGGUGUAUGAGUAGUUGCAUCCGCUCCUCUGCUAGAACCUCCAAACAAACUCUCAAUGUCUGUUUGUAAGAGAACAUCGGGCAAUCAAGCUUCCAAGACUCUGAACACAACCAAAUGAGGCAUUGUAUACGGCAAUCACCCUUUCUUU
RNAcentral lists this small nuclear RNA (313 nucleotides) under Vulpes vulpes (red fox). Its description in RNAcentral is "7SK RNA (ENSVVUG00000020431.1)". It matches the Rfam family "7SK RNA". Rfam says of the family: 7SK was discovered as an abundant small nuclear RNA in the mid-70s but a possible function has only recently been suggested. Two independent studies have found that 7SK RNA binds the CDK9/cyclin T complex (known as elongation factor P-TEFb). The record is from Rfam by way of RNAcentral. Lineage: Eukaryota; Metazoa; Chordata; Mammalia; Carnivora; Canidae.